ACGCUCGACACCUACGGGGGGCAGCAGUAGGGAAUCUUCCACAAUGGACGCAAGUCUGAUGGAGCAACGCCGCGUGAGUGAAGAAGGUUUUCGGAUCGUAAAGCUCUGUUGUUGGUGAAGAAGGAUAGAGGUAGUAACUGGCCUUUAUUUGACGGUAAUCAACCAGAAAGUCACGGCUAACUACGUGCAAGCAGCCGCGGUAAUCUGAGCGGGCUGGCAAGGC
This 223-nucleotide ribosomal RNA is filed under the name uncultured bacterium. Its description in RNAcentral is "partial 16S ribosomal RNA". It matches the Rfam family "Bacterial small subunit ribosomal RNA", at positions 328 to 539 of the family's 1533-position model. The record is from RNAcentral.